GGUUCGAUCCUGGCUCAGAUUGAACGCUGGCGGGAUGCUACACAUGCAAGUCGAACGGCAGCACGGACUUCGGUCUGGUGGCGAGUGGCGAACGGGUGAGUAAUGUAUCGGAACGUGCCCACAAGUAGCGGGGAUAACUACGCGAAAGCGUAGCUAAUACCGCAUACGCCCUUCGAGGAAAGCGGGGGACCUUCGGGCCUCGCACUAUUAGAGCGGCCGAUAUCGGAUUAGCUAGUUGGUGGGAAGUAACGGCUCACCAAGGCGACGAUCCGUAGCUGGUUUGAAGGACGACCAGCCACACUGGGACUGAGACACGGCCCAGACUCCUGCAGGAGAGCAGCAGUGAAAUUUUGGACAAUGGGGGAAACCCUGAUCAGCCAUCCCGCGUGUGCGAUGAAGGCCUUCGGGUUGUAAAGCACUUUUGGCAAGGAAAGAAACGGCACCGGGAUAAUACCCCGUGCAACUGACGGUACCUGCAGAAUAAGCACCGGCUAACUACGUGCCAGCAGCCGCGGUAAUACGUAGGGUGCAAGCGUUAAUCGGAAUUACUGGGCGUAAAGCGUGCGCAGGCGGUUCCGGAAGAAAGAUGUGAAAUCCCAGAGCUUAACUUUGGAACUGCAUUUUUAACUACCGAGCUAGAGUGUGUCAGAGAGUGGAAUUCCGCGUGUAGCAGUGAAAUGCGUAGAUAUGCGAACACCGAUAGCGAAGGCAGCCUCCUGGGAUAACACUGACGCUCAUGCACGAAAAAGCGUGGGAGCAAACAGGAUUAGAUACCCUGGUAGUCCACGCCUAAACGAUGUCAACUAGCUGUUGGGGCCUUCGGGCCUUGGUAGCGCAAGCUAACGCGUGAAGUUGACCGCCUGGGGAGUACAGUCGCAAGAUUAAAACUCAAAGGAAUUGACGGGGACCCGCACAAGCAGUGGAUGAUGUGGAUUAAUUCGAUGCAACGCGAAAAACCUUACCUACCCUUGACAUGUCUGAAUCCCGAAGAGAUUUAGGAGUGCUCGCAAGAGAACCGGAACACAGGUGCUGCAUGGCUGUCGUCAGCUCGUGUCGUGAGAUGUUGGGUUAAGUCCCGCAGCGAGCGCAACCCUUGUCGUGAGAUUUGCUACGAAGGGCACUCUAAUGAGACUGCCGGUGACAAACCGGAGGAAGGUGAGGAUGACGUCAAGUCCUCAUAGCCCUUAUGGGUAGGGCUUCACGUCAUACAAUGGUCGGGACAGAGGGUCGCCAACCCGCGAAGAAUAAUCCCGAAAACCCGAUGUAGUCCGGAUCGCAGUGCAACUCGACUGCGUGAAGUCGGAAUCGCUAGUAAUCGCGGAUCAGCAUGUCGCGGUGAAUACGUUCCAGGUCUUGUACACGCCCGUCACACCAUGGGAGUGGGUUUUACAGAAGUAGUUAGCCUAACCGUAAGGAGGGCGAUUACCACGGUAGGAUUCAUGACUGGGGUAAGAGUCGUAACAAGGUAA
This 1469-nucleotide ribosomal RNA is filed under the name uncultured Bordetella sp. RNAcentral describes it as "partial 16S-23S ribosomal RNA intergenic spacer". It matches the Rfam family "Bacterial small subunit ribosomal RNA". The record is from RNAcentral. Lineage: Bacteria; Pseudomonadati; Pseudomonadota; Betaproteobacteria; Burkholderiales; Alcaligenaceae.